GGACUGAUUUGGUUACAGUGUCUUCACUACAUUAGCUUAGCAUCAUUAGCUAGUUUGAGUAUAAGUACAUACACUACCAUUCAAAAGGGGUUUGGGGUUAAUCAAAAUCAAUCUUAGCAUCAUUGGCUAGUUUGAGAGGUACAUACAUUAUGGGUUACUAUAACAUGUACUUGUGAGAAAGAUCCUUUGUAAAGAGACAUGAACUCAUUGACUGUCCUUUUUUACCCAGAUCCACGAACUCUCGGAAAAACGUUAUACUGGCGUGUCCUAUUUGAGAACAGUAGUUCUUCAAAUUUCUCAGAGUGUAACAGCAUCUGAGAAAACACAGAGGGUGGAAAUACAGCAACAGUUCAAGGUAACUGCGGGACCUGACCUCUGUUACCCAAGCAACGCGGACGCCAUUUUUAGAGAGAUCCUAAGAGACACACUCAUCCCUCAGUUUGACCCGGUUUCCAAUAUCGGUGACACAGUUUUCAGACUCAGUGUUCUUGCGAUCUUCAAAAUCAACGUUCAGUUUAAGGAAGUGCUCGGAGACCGUACCAGCACAGAGUUCAAAAAUAUGGAAAAAAAUAUAACUAGAGUGAUGGAUGAUAUCUCCCUCAACAACUAUAAAUUACCAGUCAUAUAUACAAGAACAAUUGUUAUUGGUAUCAGACCAACAGAAAACAGCAAAAGGCGUAAAAGAAAUGUCAUGGAGACAGAGGUGGAGCUACAGCAGGACUUUGACCCCGCCCCAACUUCCUCCUCGUCCUCCUCGUCCUCCUCUCCAGCUUUCCCCCGGCGUGCUGACAUCUUGGACACGCUGAGGACAGCUGCAGCCAACCCCAGCUUAGGCUUCACAGUGGAUAUAGACUCCAUCAAGAUCACAGAUCCCGUCACAGAAGUUACACCAGGAACUACAUCUGUGCCAUCAGGAAUCACUACUGCUGUUACAUCAGGAACUACUUCAUCUGUGCCGUC
Molecule: long non-coding RNA, 960 nt
Organism: Clupea harengus (Atlantic herring)
Lineage: Eukaryota; Metazoa; Chordata; Actinopteri; Clupeiformes; Clupeidae
Source: Ensembl